GAUGAACGCUGGCGGCGUGCCUAAUACAUGCAAGUCGAGCGAACGGACGAGAAGCUUGCUUCUCUGAUGUUAGCGGCGGACGGGUGAGUAACACGUGGAUAACCUACCUAUAAGACUGGGAUAACUUCGGGAAACCGUAGCUAAUACCGGAUAAUAUUUUGAACCGCAUGGUUCAAAAGUGAAAGACGGUCUUGCUGUCACUUAUAGAUGGAUCCGCGCUGCAUUAGCUAGUUGGUAAGGUAACGGCUUACCAAGGCAACGAUGCAUAGCCGACCUGAGAGGGUGAUCGGCCACACUGGAACUGAGACACGGUCCAGACUCCUACGGGAGGCAGCAGUAGGGAAUCUUCCGCAAUGGGCGAAAGCCUGACGGAGCAACGCCGCGUGAGUGAUGAAGGUCUUCGGAUCGUAAAACUCUGUUGUUAGGGAAGAACAUAUGUGUAAGUAACUGUGCACAUCUUGACGGUACCUAAUCAGAAAGCCACGGCUAGCUACGUG
RNAcentral lists this ribosomal RNA (497 nucleotides) under uncultured bacterium. RNAcentral describes it as "partial 16S ribosomal RNA". It matches the Rfam family "Bacterial small subunit ribosomal RNA", at positions 28 to 507 of the family's 1533-position model. The record is from RNAcentral.